GGCACUUCGUGAUGUCAUCAACGCAUGCUGGGAGAGGAAACAAAAUCCUGGGCUCGGGGCUUGGCAGCGACAGCGAGAAAAAGCCCCUUCGCUUUGCCAAAGGGCUGAUUGCAUGGAGUAUGCUUAUCAACUUUGACCACACACUACUACCAUUUCUCUUUUAAGAAAAAGGACUCGGCGGAAAGAAGGUGGAAGGAAUGAGGAGACACAGACUCGAGAUAAUCCAUCAAGUCAGCUCCUGGAACAUUAAUAAUGAAGACCUUUGAACCUGGCAAAUCUUCUGUAUUUCUCUCCCUUAACUGCGACUUACAAAUUGUCCCAGGGCUGCUGCCUGAUCUGAUGGCCUCUUUUUAAUUUUUGCCCCCGCGUUAUUAAAAAUGCCCCCAUCACAAUCCCAGAAGCUGACAGCGAAAGCAACAGUUAAGGAAGCCCGAAGCUGGCAGCCUGUCAGCUCAGGAACUCCCUGCAGCCUGCAAACACAACUCCACCCACUCGCGUUUUCGGGAGAGGAGCCUGGUGCCAAGGCAGCGCUGGCAAAGGUGGUGGCUGGGGAAGUGGGGAUUCUGCCUGCUUUGGUUUCCGAGGCUGUCUGUGAACAACCGGGUGCUUUUUCCCCCUUUGAGUCAAGCCUCCUUUUG
This is a long non-coding RNA of Cygnus olor (mute swan), 638 nucleotides long. RefSeq lists it as uncharacterized. The transcript has 3 exons. Lineage: Eukaryota; Metazoa; Chordata; Aves; Anseriformes; Anatidae. The record is from RefSeq and is a predicted model, not a curated record.